AACGAACGCUGGCGGCAUGCCUAACACAUGCAAGUCGAACGAGACCUUCGGGUCUAGUGGCGCACGGGUGCGUAACGCGUGGGAACCUGCCCUUAGGUUCGGAAUAACUCCCCGAAAGGGGUGCUAAUACCGGAUAAUGUCUUCGGACCAAAGAUUUAUCGCCUUUGGAUGGGCCCGCGUUGGAUUAGCUAGUUGGUAGGGUAAAAGCCUACCAAGGCGACGAUCCAUAGCUGGUCUGAGAGGAUGAUCAGCCACACUGGGACUGAGACACGGCCCAGACCCCUACGGGAGGCAGCAGGGGGGAAUAUGGGAAAUGGGGCGAAAGCCUGAUCCAGCAAUGCCGGGUGAGUGAUGAAGGCUUUAGGGUUGAAAAGCUCUUUUACCCGGGAUGAUAAGGACAGUACCGGGAAAAUAAGCCCCGGCAAACUCCGG
This 432-nucleotide ribosomal RNA is filed under the name uncultured bacterium. Its description in RNAcentral is "partial 16S ribosomal RNA". It matches the Rfam family "Bacterial small subunit ribosomal RNA", at positions 29 to 506 of the family's 1533-position model. The record is from RNAcentral.